Molecule: transfer RNA, 82 nt
Organism: Tateyamaria sp. ANG-S1
Lineage: Bacteria; Pseudomonadati; Pseudomonadota; Alphaproteobacteria; Rhodobacterales; Roseobacteraceae
Rfam family: tRNA
About the family: Transfer RNA (tRNA) molecules are approximately 80 nucleotides in length. Their secondary structure includes four short double-helical elements and three loops (D, anti-codon, and T loops).
Source: Rfam
GCGGGCGUGGCGGAAUUGGUAGACGCACCAGAUUUAGGUUCUGGCGCCGCAAGGUGUGGGAGUUCGAGUCUCCCCGCCCGCA